AUUGAACGCUGGCGGCAGGCCUAACACAUGCAAGUCGAGCGGAUGAAGGGAGCUUGCUCCUGGCUUCAGCGGCGGACGGGUGAGUAAUUCCUAGGAAUCUGCCUGGUAGUGGGGGCUAACGUCCGGAAACGGGCGCUAAUACCGCAUACGUCCUGAGGGUGAAAGGGGGGGAUCUUCGGACCUCACGCUAUCAGAUGUGCCUAGGUCGGAUUAGCUAGUUGGUUGGGUAAAGGCCUACCAAGGCGACGAUCCGUAACUGGUCUGAGAGGAUGAUCAGUCACACUGGAACUGAGACACGGUCCAGACUCCUACGGGAGGCAGCAGUGGGGAAUAUUGGACAAUGGGCGAAAGCCUGAUCCAGCCAUGCCGCGUGUGUGAAGAAGGUCUUCGGAUUGUAAAGCACUUUAAGUUGGGAGGAAGGGCAGUAAGUUAAUACCUUGCUGUUUUGACGUUACCAACAGAAUAAGCACCGGCUAACUUCGUG
Molecule: ribosomal RNA, 484 nt
Filed under: uncultured bacterium
Lineage: Bacteria
Description: partial 16S ribosomal RNA
Rfam family: Bacterial small subunit ribosomal RNA
Source: RNAcentral